AUUCAGUUGGGCACUCUAAUGAGACCUGCCGGUGACAAACCGGAGGAAGGUGGGGAUGACGUCAAGUCCUCAUGGCCCUUAUAGCUGGGGCUACACACGUCAUACAAUGGCCUGGUACAAAAGGGUUGCCAACCCGCGAGGGGGAGCCAAUCCCAUAAAACCAGUCGUAGUCCGGAUCGCAGUCUGCAACUUGGCUGCGUGAAGUCGGAAUCGCUAGUAAUCGUGGAUCAGAAUGUCACGGUGAAUACGUUCCCGGGUCUUGUACACACCGCCCGUCAC
Molecule: ribosomal RNA, 279 nt
Filed under: uncultured beta proteobacterium
Lineage: Bacteria; Pseudomonadati; Pseudomonadota; Betaproteobacteria
Description: partial 16S ribosomal RNA
Rfam family: Bacterial small subunit ribosomal RNA
Source: RNAcentral